AGAGUUUGAUCCUGGCUCAGAAUCAACGCUGGCGGCGUGCCUCAGACAUGCAAGUCGAACGAUUAAACUCGCCUUCGGGUGAGAUAUAAAGUGGCGCACGGGUGAGUAACACGUAGGUAAUCUGCCUUUGAGUGGGGAAUAACGUUCGGAAACGAACGCUAAUACCGCAUAAUGCAGCGGCACCGCAAGGUGAAUGGUUGUUAAAGGAGCAAUCCGCUUAAAGAGGAGCCUGCGGCAGAUUAGGUAGUUGGUAAGGUAAUGGCUUACCAAGCCUGCGAUCUGUAACCGACCUGAGAGGGUGGUCGGUCACACUGACACUGAAUAACGGGUCAGACUCCUACGGGAGGCAGCAGUCGGGAAUUUUGGGCAAUGGGCGAAAGCCUGACCCAGCAACGCCGCGUGAAGGAUGAAGUAUUUCGGUAUGUAAACUUCGAAAGAAUGGGAAGAAUAAAUGACGGUACCAUUUAUAAGGUCCGGCUAACUACGUGCCAGCAGCCGCGGUAAUACGUAGGGACCAAGCGUUGUUCGGAUUUACUGGGCGUAAAGGGCGCGUAGGCGGCGUGUUAAGUCAGCUGUGAAAUCUCCGAGCUUAACUCGGAACGGUCAGCUGAUACUGAUGUGCUAGAGUGCAGAAGGGGCAAUCGGAAUUCUUGGUGUAGCGGUGAAAUGCGUAGAUAUCAAGAGGAACACCUGAGGUGAAGACGGGUUGCUGGGCUGACACUGACGCUGAGGCGCGAAAGCUAGGGUAGCAAACGGGAUUAGAUACCCCGGUAGUCC
RNAcentral lists this ribosomal RNA (777 nucleotides) under uncultured bacterium. RNAcentral's name for it is "bacterial SSU rRNA". It matches the Rfam family "Bacterial small subunit ribosomal RNA", at positions 8 to 796 of the family's 1533-position model. The record is from RNAcentral.